AGAAGACAGACAGAAGGCGGCGGUGCUCCUCCUCCUCCUCAGUGGUUCCUUGCAGAUCAGGAUUUCGCAUCCCGGCCGUGGCCAUGAGGAUCCUUUACCUGCUGCUGGCUGUGCUCUUUGUGGUGCUGCAGGGCGUUGCAGGUGAGCCCUCCUUUUCCAGCCCUAUCCGUGCUUGUACAUUUCGAAGGGGAAUCUGCUUUCCUGGGCUGUGUCGGCCACCAUAUUACCGG
Tympanuchus pallidicinctus (lesser prairie-chicken) is the source of this 230-nucleotide long non-coding RNA. RefSeq lists it as uncharacterized. The transcript has 3 exons. NCBI's taxonomy places the organism in Eukaryota, Metazoa, Chordata, Aves, Galliformes, Phasianidae. The record is from RefSeq and is a predicted model, not a curated record.